Molecule: ribosomal RNA, 460 nt
Filed under: uncultured bacterium
Lineage: Bacteria
Description: partial 16S ribosomal RNA
Rfam family: Bacterial small subunit ribosomal RNA
Source: RNAcentral
CCUACGGGAGGCAGCAGUGAGGAAUAUUGGUCAAUGGACGAGAGUCUGAACCAGCCAAGUAGCGUGAAGGAUGACUGCCCUAUGGGUUGUAAACUUCUUUUAUAAAGGAAUAAAACGUGGCACGUGUGCCUUUUUGCAUGUACCUUAUGAUUAAGGAUCGGCUAACUCCGUGCCAGCAGCCGCGGUAAUACGGAGGAUCCGAGCGUUAUCCGGUUUUAUUGGGUUUAAAGGGAGCGUAGAUGGGUUGUUAAGUCAGUUGUGAAAUUUUGCGGCUCAACCGUAAAAUUGCAGUUGAUACUGGCAGUCUUGAGUACAGUUGAGGUAAGCGGAAUUCGUGGUGUAGCGGUGAAAUGCUUAGAUAUCACGAAGAACCCCGAUUGCGAAGGCAGCUUACUAAACUGUGACUGACAUUGAUGCUCGAAAGUGUGGGUAUCAAACAGGAUUAGAUACCCCAGUAGUC